This 207-nucleotide ribosomal RNA is filed under the name uncultured bacterium. Its description in RNAcentral is "partial 16S ribosomal RNA". It matches the Rfam family "Bacterial small subunit ribosomal RNA", at positions 568 to 774 of the family's 1533-position model. The record is from RNAcentral.
CGCGUAGGCGGUGGAAUCAGUCAGAUGUGAAAUUCUGGGGCUCACCCCCAGACCUGCAUUUGAAACAGUUUCACUAGAGGGUAGGCGGAGAAAACGGAAUUCCACAAGUAGCGGUGAAAUGCGUAGAUAUGUGGAAGAACACCGGUGGCGAAGGCGGUUUUCUAGCUUACUCCUGACGCCGAGGCGCGAAAGCAAGGGGAGCGAACA